Molecule: long non-coding RNA, 209 nt
Filed under: Mytilus galloprovincialis (Mediterranean mussel)
Lineage: Eukaryota; Metazoa; Mollusca; Bivalvia; Mytilida; Mytilidae
Source: RNAcentral
GUUUUUGGUUAUUAUCUUGAAUAUUAUUAUAGAUAGAGAUAAACUGUAAACAGCAAUAAUGUUCAGCAAAGUAAGAUUUACAAAUAAGUCAACAUGACCGAAAUGGUCAAUUGACUGCCUAAGGAGUUAUUGUCCUUUAUAGUCAAUUUUUAACAAUUUUCAUAAAAUUUGUUAAUUUUUAUUAACAUUUUCCAUUGAAACUACUGGGC